AAUAUUGCGCAAUGGAGGAAACUCUGACGCAGCGACGCCGCGUGAGCGAUGAAGGUCUUCGGAUCGUAAAGCUCUGUCCUUGGGGAAGAAGAUCGAAAGAUUUGACGGUACCCGAGGAGGAAGCCCCGGCUAACUACGUGCCAGCAGCCGCGGUAAUACGAAGGGGGCAAGCGUUGUCCGGAAUUAUUGGGCGUAAAGCGCGCGCAGGCGGUUUCUUAAGUCUGAUGUGAAAGCCCCCGGCUCAACCGGGGAAGGUCAUUGGAAACUGGGGAACUUGAGUGCAGAAGAGGAAAGUGGAAUUCCAAGUGUAGCGGUGAAAUGCGUAGAGAUUUGGAGGAACACCAGUGGCGAAGGCGACUUUCUGGUCUGUAACUGACGCUGAGGCGCGAAAGCGUGGGGAGCAAACA
RNAcentral lists this ribosomal RNA (407 nucleotides) under uncultured bacterium. RNAcentral describes it as "partial 16S ribosomal RNA". It matches the Rfam family "Bacterial small subunit ribosomal RNA", at positions 360 to 774 of the family's 1533-position model. The record is from RNAcentral.